Molecule: long non-coding RNA, 1024 nt
Filed under: Salmo salar (Atlantic salmon)
Lineage: Eukaryota; Metazoa; Chordata; Actinopteri; Salmoniformes; Salmonidae
Description: lncRNA (ENSSSAG00000112542.1)
Source: RNAcentral
GUAAGUUUGUUGAGUCUUUGUUUGGCAACAUUAUGAAAGGUUCUCAAUUUUUUUACUUGUAAAAUAGGGACAUAAUUGGAAAAUGCCAUGGAUACCCCCACUCUCAACUUAAACUGAUGGUCGCAUGCGGUUGGACACAUGGAGGAGAGAAUCAUUUUCGCAGUAUCCUCAAAACCGUGUCUUUUUGACACAACUGCUGACAGCUACAGGGACAUAAACACAAAAAAUCCUGCUUGGAGACAAGUGUCCACGAUAGUAGGAUUGCCAGGUCAGUUUAGUAGUGGGCAUGUGCCAGAUGUGGCUAGUUAACGUGACCCACAACAAUGGGUCCUGGAGAAGACUAGCCUACCUUCAUCAGAGCAGAAGGCACCCCAAUGUUCUUUCCAUUUGGUAACAUUGCAUAAUUAAAAAAGGAUUCUAAACCAACUUUGGGAAAAGUUAUAGUCCUAAUGAACAUUCUGUAAAAGUACAUCUGAUGUCAAAUAGGGACUAUUAACUAGAGAGCCCUUUAGCUAGCUAGGUUGCACAUAAAAACAAUGUAUCAAAUAUAAAUCAAUUAUGGUAUCAAAGGCUUUAAAAAUGUACUAGAAUGUAGCUUACCGUAGACAAAUCACCAGGCGUUCAACUGGGCUGAUGGACUCCCGGUAGUUGGUAUCCAUCCGGAUGAUCCUGGCUCCAACCAUCUGAAGCAGGUGAUCGAACUGGCUUCGGUCCAGACGAAAGUAACUUCGGAAUUCCUCUCCAAGCAGUCGAAGCUCUUGAAUGAGACGGUGGAACUCCUCUGCCUGCUUUCGGGACUUUAACCAUCUCUGGACCCAUACAGACCUGCGCUUUCGGCGGGGCUGAUCCCGGCCCAACAGCGCGAUCAAGACCACCUUCCUCAACGUUGGUCUCAUUGUUGAAAGAGCCGACUCUGCUAUCUUGACUAUUAUGCAUUUUGCUCCAAAGCUGCAUUUUGGAGGGAAAUUAUAUUAUAGGCUCUCACAAUUAAUUUGUGGAUGUCAUCGAAUAAAUAAUAUACUUG